UUAUCUAUUACAAAGACAAAGGAUUGACUAUUAUCGCAACGUUAAGCAACUAAUCCAGUCAUAAAUUAGGAAGCUGUUAUCGAAUCAUUACUUAUCAGUGUAGUCUAGCAAUUUCAAAUUGAUAAACUAAAUUACUAAUUCAAAAGACCCAUAUUUCGAAUUUCUGAUUAGCUGUUCGUGAGAGGAGAAUAUUAAACGGUACAAUUAUGGUGUACACUAAUAUCGACGGGUCAAAAAUCAUGGGCCCUUAUCACGAAAUCAAGAAGGAUAACGAUAAGCGUACAAUGAAUGCAUCCAAGAAACAAACUCAAAAUCAGCAAGAUAUAUAUAUGAAAAAUGAUAAGAAGUAUGGUGCUUGGGGACCAGUUUACAAAAACAAGGAAAAUUUCGUCAACAUGCAUAUUUGUUAAUCCUUUAUAAUCUAUAUACAUAUAUAUAUAUAUAUAUACAUAUAUAUAAAAUGUAUACAUAAAAAUAUAUAUUUGAUUUUAAUUCGU
Molecule: long non-coding RNA, 497 nt
Organism: Vespa velutina
Lineage: Eukaryota; Metazoa; Arthropoda; Insecta; Hymenoptera; Vespidae
Exons: 2
Source: RefSeq, a predicted model, not a curated record